GCGGUCGUGGCGAAAUUGGUAGACGCGCAGCCUUGAGGUGGCUGUGGCGAAAGUCAUGAGAGUUCGAGUCUCUCCGACCGCACCA
Molecule: transfer RNA, 85 nt
Filed under: Burkholderia sp.
Lineage: Bacteria; Pseudomonadati; Pseudomonadota; Betaproteobacteria; Burkholderiales; Burkholderiaceae
Also listed under: 1 other name
Description: tRNA-Leu
Rfam family: tRNA
About the family: Transfer RNA (tRNA) molecules are approximately 80 nucleotides in length. Their secondary structure includes four short double-helical elements and three loops (D, anti-codon, and T loops).
Source: RNAcentral